RNAcentral lists this long non-coding RNA (2126 nucleotides) under Anolis carolinensis (green anole). RNAcentral's name for it is "lncRNA (ENSACAG00000040565.1)". Lineage: Eukaryota; Metazoa; Chordata; Lepidosauria; Squamata; Anolidae. The record is from RNAcentral.
AUGAGUGGAGAAGGAGAUCAAAGCCAUGACGGAGCAGAGAGGCCUUUGCUAGGAGCUCGGCCGUUGGCGGAAGAGACGUUGCAAGCCAUAGCUUCCUCUACGGGGUACCCCAAGCCGGACGGCGUGACCCAGAGGAUUCCCAGAGGAGGAAGAGGCGUUCCGGCGGCGGCAGAAACCAGUUGGGGAUCUGGAGGAAGCAUGCCGGAGACCGUGGCCCUGCGGUUAUCCAUCCUGGAAACGAAUUUAUCCAGGCUGUCGGAAACCGUGGGGAGGUUGGUGCCACUGUUGGAAGAAAAUCUCCAGAAGGAACCCACCCGAUAUGGCACCGAGACAGAGCCACGUAAGGAAGGAGUUUGGAGCCAAAGAGGCCAGCGCGCCUCAACGCAGAGUCCCAUGGCGGCGAGGAGUGAGGAGGAUGAAGAAUACUGGCAGGAACUGGAGUUCCGGGACAGAAUGGCGCGCGAAGUGGAGCACCAGCACGCUCGGGGAACUCUGAGACCACCGACUCCAAUAGAACUUCCUGUCCAGCUUCCAACCCCCUGGAUGGGCGUCGGGGUGGAAAGACCACUGGGGCGAGGAAUUGGGUCCAGUGGAUUAGCAGAUGAAGGCGGAGAGGAGCCGGAGAUCCAGGAAGGGGAGGAGAAUGUGCCGUACGGCGAGGAACGGCGAGAUGCGGGGGCUACAGCGAGGCCCGAGUUCGGGUGGGUGGAAGGACCGACAGCAGCGGCAGAAUUUCGGGAGCCGCGCAGGACGACCGCCGGAGUGGGGCGCGGCGUGUUAAAAGGAGCCGUCCAAGGAAACCCGAUGCAACCCUUCCCCAUGCCUCCCAGACAGCAGCAGCGGGCCGUAGAAUGGAUGCAAAGGAGGGAAGAUCUCAAACUGGAAUACGGAGGGGAAUCAUCUGAACUGAACUUUUUCCUCAUUAGCGUCAGAGGAUAUAUAGAAGACAAUGCACACACAUUCCCCUCCGAAGCAAGCAUGGUUCGGGCCAUCGGCAACACACUAAAGAGAGGAGCGGCCAGCUGGUAUGUACAACUACAUGCCAGAAGCGACCCGUGCCUGAGGUCAGUGCCCCGCUUCCUCGCCGCGCUGGAAAACCGGUUCCGAGACCGGCUGGAGCAAUUGAGGGCUCGAGACCAGCUUAGAGGAAUAAAGCAGAGGGACAAAACGGUGCCUGAGUACGCAGAGGAAUUCCUCCAUCUCGCAGAAAAGGUACCAGAGUGGUCUGAAGUGACCAAAGUGGAAAUAUUCAAGGAGGGACUACGCCCCGAGAUUUUUAGUUGGGCGGCACAUAGAGACGACCCAGAAACACUAAGGGGCUGGAUACAACUAGCGGGGCGCGUUGAAUCCACCCUAGCCCAAGUGAAGCGUUUCAGGGGCGGCAGCGGCCAGCAAAGACCGACAGCGAGAGGUCGAGGAGAAACGAGGAAGCAGGAAAGGCCCGGAGCAAGGCCGGGGAUUCCCUUCAAAGGAGAUGACAACAAACCCAAACCGGGGUGCUUUGUAUGUGGGAAGACGGGCCAUCGAGCAGCAGAAUGUUGGGCCCGGAAGGGGGAGCUGCCAAAACCCUCAAAGCCCAAGCCAGCAGUCGGGAGGCGAGCGGAGGAGGAGGUGCGAGCCCCAGAAUCUCCGGAGAGGCUGAUUUGUGAUGAAAGAAGAACCGAAGAGGAGGACGAAGAAAAGGAGGGCACCAUGUCAUGGAACCCAGUUACAGGGCUGAAUUACCAAGCCCUGAACUGGGAGUCAUAACAUAAACAAUCCUAGAAGCACCUGGCAGAAGAAGAUAGAAUAUGCCUGGGAACUUGGGGUUGAAAAUAUAAACAAUUAUAAUUGGUCUAGUGUGUGAAAAUGGUAGUAAUGUGAUAUUGGGGGUGGGAAUUGAUGAUGGUAUUUACGUGUGGUGUUACGUAGCAUCAGAGGUGAUAAAAAUGAUAGUAUGUAAACAUUGGGUCAUUCUUGACUUUUCCAAAGUCAUGUGUUCUUCAAUAAAGAUUGGAUUUGAGAGCAGCUAUCUCUGAUCUGCGUUCAGACUGAUCCUUUGAAGUGAGCAGGACAUUAUCAUUGUAUAAUUUUAACUGUGUGGAACACCUGGUUCAAGGUAGUGUAUCUUUCAUCUCCAUUUAUUU